AUGCUGGCGCCGCUCCCUCGCCUGACGGGCUCCCUCCGCCCCCACUUCGACGCCGACCAGGCCUACCUCCUCCGCAAGGCCGCCCUCCAAGCCCGCGCCCUCCCAAGGCCGCAUGACGAGUGGGCGCUCGCCCGGAGGUUCGUGCCCAACUGGGACGACGCUCCCAGCGAUGUGCGCCAGGCGUACAAGCAGUUUAUCGGAGCCGUGGUGGAGUUGUUGAACGGGGAGGUGGUGUCUGAGGAACUCCAGCAGGUUGCUCAGGCUGUCUAUAGGUUGUUCGGCACGGAGUCUGACACCACCCAGAAGCCCCUCCAGAGAAGGAAUGAACUGGAACGACUUGUGGGCUACACCGUGCAAGACUCAGUUUUGAAAAAGCUAGCUCAGUUAGCUCAGAAGCUCUGUUCCCUUCAACGGGGGAGCAUUCAGGAAUUUGUACAGGAAGACACGAAGGCCGUAGAUGGAGAUGAUACAAGUGAAUUUGGGGCAAGCUUUGACUUCAAAGCACCUUCUCGUUUCAUUAUUGAUGUUACGCUUGAUGAUGACCUACCAUUGGGAAGUGGUGUACUGAGUUCAUUUCAAGAGGAGCAGCAUGAUGCCAGCACUACAUCUUGUAAUUCAACUGCUUUUGCGGGUCCUGUGAAUUUGAGGUGGCUAAAAGAUCAGUGUGAUCUGAUAACUAGAAGUGGUGGCUCGAUGCUCUCGGGAGAUGAACUUGCAAUGGCUCUGUGCAGAGUGCUACGUUCCAAUAAAGCAGGCGAUGAGAUAGCUGGUGAACUGCUGGACAUGGUUGGGGAUGGUGCCUUUGAAAUAGUUCAGGAUCUUCUUUCACAUAGAAAAGAGCUAGGGGAUGCAAUUCAGCAUGGAUUGACGAUACUGAAAUCAGAAAAGGUGUCUUCAAAUAAUCAACCAAAGAUGCCAACAUAUGGCACACAAGUAACAAUACAAACAGAGUAUGAGCGUCAGCUUGAUAAGAUUAAGAGGAAAGAGGGAAGACGUGCCAAACGUGGUGCAGAAAAUGGAAUGAAUGAUUUUGGUGCCGAUGAUUUCUCAUCCCUUCUUCAAGCAAGUGAAAGAAAGCAGCCAUUUGAUGACAUGAUUGGGACUGGAGAAGGGGAGAGUAGUUUCCAAGUAACCUCUCUUCCUCAAGGAACAACACGGAAACAUAUGAAGGGGUAUGAAGAAGUGAAAAUUCCACCAACUCCUACAGCACCGUUGGGACCCAAUGAGAAACUGAUUGAAAUAAGAGAGUUGGAUGAUAUUGCCCAAGCUGCUUUCCAGGGAUACAAAUCACUCAACCGUGUUCAGAGCCGUAUUUUUCAAGCCACAUACAACACCAAUGAGAACAUUCUAGUUUGUGCUCCGACGGGUGCUGGCAAAACAAAUAUUGCAAUGAUUGCAGUUCUUCAUGAGGUUAAACAGCACUUCAGGGAAGGCAUUUUGCAUAAAAAUGAGUUCAAGAUAGUGUAUGUUGCACCAAUGAAGGCCUUGGCUGCAGAGGUAACGGCAACAUUUGGUCGUCGACUAUCUCCAUUGAACCUGGUUGUUAAAGAACUUACAGGCGACAUGCAGUUGACCAGAAGUGAGAUUGAGGAAACACAGAUGAUAGUGACUACUCCUGAGAAGUGGGAUGUCAUUACACGCAAAAGCAGUGAUAUGGCACUGUCAAUGCUGGUCAAGCUGAUAAUCAUUGAUGAAGUGCACCUGCUAAAUGAUGAUAGAGGGUCAGUAAUUGAGACACUAGUUGCUCGAACUCUUCGCCAGGUUGAGUCCAUGCAAUCAAUGAUUCGCAUUGUUGGCCUAUCUGCUACACUGCCUACUUACAAAGAGGUUGCAGAAUUUUUGCGGGUUAAUGCAGAUACUGGCCUUUUCUACUUUGACUCGAGUUACCGUCCAGUUCCUCUUGCUCAACAGUACAUUGGAAUCACUGAAAGGGAUUACGCCAAGAGAAAUGAUCUAUUCAAUAGUAUUUGCUAUGACAAGGUUGUGGAGUCCAUUAAACAAGGUCAUCAAGCAUUGGUUUUUGUACAUACCCGCAAGGAUACAGGGAAAACCGCUAGAACCCUAAUUGACCUAGCUGCAAAAGCAGGGGAAGUGGAGUUAUUUUCAAAUGCAGACCAUCCCCAAUACGGAUUGAUCAAGAAAGAUGUCAGUAAAGCUAAAAGUCGUGAAGUUAUAGAAUUUUUUGAUUCUGGAUUUGGCAUACAUAAUGCUGGAAUGAUGCGUUCUGACCGAAAUUUGAUGGAGCGCUUGUUUGCUGAUGGUCUCUUGAAAGUCCUUGUUUGUACAGCAACAUUGGCUUGGGGAGUGAACUUACCAGCUCAUACAGUUGUUAUAAAGGGCACACAAUUAUAUGAUGCUAAAGCUGGCGGAUGGCGAGAUCUGGGGAUGCUCGAUGUGAUGCAGAUCUUUGGACGUGCUGGGAGGCCACAGUUUGAUAAAAGUGGUGAAGGAAUUAUUAUUACGACGCAUGACAAAUUGGCUUAUUAUUUGAGAUUAUUGACUAGUCAGCUUCCAAUAGAAAGCCAGUUCCUUGGAUCAUUGAAAGAUAACUUGAAUGCUGAGGUUGCCUUGGGAACUGUAACAAAUGUCAGGGAGGCCUGUGCCUGGCUUGGCUAUACAUACUUAUUUAGAAGGAUGAAGACUAAUCCUCUGGUGUAUGGGAUAACUUGGGAAGAGGUGAUCGGAGAUCCUUCCAUGGGUGCCAAGCAACGGUCAUUUAUUAUUGAUGCUGCACGUUCGCUAGACAAGGCUAAGAUGAUGCGCUAUGAUGAAAAGAGUGGCAACUUCUACUGCACAGAGCUCGGUCGAAUUGCAAGUCACUUUUACCUUCAGUACUCCAGUGUUGAGACAUACAACGAGAUGCUUCGUCGUCACAUGAGUGAAAGUGAGGUGAUUAACAUGGUGGCCCAUUCCUCUGAAUUCGAAAAUAUCGUAGUUAGAGAAGAAGAACAAGAUGAAUUAGAAACACUUGCCAGGAAAGCAUGCCCAUUGGAAGUUAAGGGUGGGCCGACUGACAAGCAUGGGAAAAUUUCAAUUCUCAUACAGGUUUUUAUUUCCCGUGCCUCAGUUGACAGCUCCUCCUUACACUCUGAUGCCCAAUACAUUAGUCAAAGCUUGGGUCGCAUUAUGAGGGCGUUGUUUGAGAUUUGUCUGCGAAGGGGGUGGUCUGAGAUGACAUCCUUAUUAUUGGAAUAUUGCAAGGCUGUAGAUCGCAAAAUAUGGCCACAUCUCCAUCCACUUAGGCAGUUCGAUAGGGACAUUUCUCCUGAGAUAUUGUGGAAACUUGAGGAAAGAAAUGUGGACCUGGACCGUCUUUAUGAAAUGGAGGAAAAUGACAUUGGAGCCCUCAUUCGUUUUUCUCAUCAGGGAAGGUUGGUUAAGCAGUAUGUUGGAUACUUCCCACAUGUCAACUUAUCUGCUUCCGUUAGUCCAAUCACCAGGACUGUUCUGAAAGUGGACCUGCUUAUAACUCCUGAAUUUGUGUGGAAGGAUCGUCACCAUGGCAUGUCACAACGAUGGUUGAUUAUUGUGGAGGAUUCUGAAAAUGAUACUAUUUAUCAUUCGGAGCUCUUCACACUGACAAAGAAGAUGGCAAGAGGUACACCUACAAAAAUGUCUUUUAAUAUACCGAUCUUCGAGCCUCAUCCGCCGCAGUACUAUAUCCGAGCUGUAUCAGACUCCUGGUUGCAUGCGGAGUCAAUCUUUACCGUCUCUUUUCAUAAUCUUACCUUGCCUCAGACACAAAUAACACACACUGAACUUUUGGACUUGAAGCCUCUUCCACUGAGCGCUCUUGGCAACAAAGCAUACGAAGAUUUGUAUAGAUUUACCCAUUUCAAUCCCAUACAAACACAGGCUUUCCAUGUUCUUUAUCACACUGAAACUAAUGUGCUCUUGGGAGCACCAACUGGGAGUGGCAAGACAAUUUCUGCAGAACUAGCAAUGCUUCAUCUUUUCAAUACCCAGCCGGACAUGAAGGUAGUUUACAUUGCUCCUCUAAAGGCUAUAGUGCGAGAAAGAAUGAAUGAUUGGAGACAUCGGCUUGUUACUCAGCUUGGGAAGAAGAUGGUUGAAAUGACUGGUGAUUUUACACCAGACAUGGUGGCCCUAUUAUCAGCUGAUAUCAUAAUUUCGACCCCCGAAAAGUGGGAUGGGAUUAGUCGCAGUUGGCACAGUAGAAGUUAUGUUAUGAAGGUUGGACUCAUGAUAUUAGACGAGAUACAUCUUCUUGGAGCUGACCGUGGGCCUAUUCUUGAGGUCAUCGUAUCAAGAAUGCGAUACAUAUCAUCACAAACGGAACGUUCAAUUCGGUUUGUUGGUUUAUCAACAGCAUUAGCCAAUGCUCGUGACUUGGCCGAUUGGUUGGGCGUCAGAGAUGAUGGUCUGUUUAAUUUCAAGCCCAGCGUGAGGCCUGUACCUCUUGAAGUGCAUAUUCAGGGAUAUCCUGGGAAGUUCUACUGCCCGAGAAUGAAUAGCAUGAACAAACCAGCAUAUGCAGCCAUAUGUACUCAUUCACCUGAUAAACCAGUUCUCAUUUUUGUGUCAUCACGUCGACAGACGAGACUUACAGCUCUUGAUCUCAUUCAGCUUGCAGCAUCUGAUGAGAAACCAACGCAGUUCCUCAGCAUGGCAGAUAACUCUCUAGACAUGAUUCUUUCACAAGUCACUGAUAGCAAUUUGAGACAUACACUUCAGUUUGGAAUAGGUCUGCAUCAUGCAGGUCUAAAUGAUAGAGAUAGAUCCUUGGUUGAGGAACUCUUUUCAAACAACAAGAUUCAGGUACUAGUAUGCACUAGCACACUGGCUUGGGGUGUCAAUCUUCCAGCUCACCUGGUCAUAAUCAAGGGUACUGAAUACUAUGAUGGGAAAACAAAAAGAUAUGUUGAUUAUGUUAUCACAGAUAUUCUGCAAAUGAUGGGUCGUGCAGGCCGGCCACAAUAUGACCAACAUGGCAAAGCUGUUAUUCUUGUUCAUGAACCAAAAAAGAGCUUUUAUAAGAAGUUCUUGUAUGAACCGUUCCCUGUUGAAAGUAAUCUGAGGGAGCACUUGCACGAUCACAUAAAUGCAGAGAUUGUUUCGAGCACAAUUGGUAAUAAAGAGGAGGCAAUUAUCUAUCUUACUUGGACUUACCUAUAUCGCAGACUGGUUGUUAAUCCAUCUUACUACGGAUUGGAAGAUACUGAAACAUAUACCUUGAAUGCUUAUCUCUCGAGGUUAGUGGAAACUACACUUGAAGAUCUUGAAGACAGUGGAUGCAUAAAAGUGGAUGACCAUUCUGUGCAGUCUUUAAUUUUGGGGAAAAUAGCUUCACAAUAUUACCUUAGUUACCUUACCGUCUCAAUGUUUGGGUCAAAUAUUGGUCCCAAUACAUCAUUGGAAGCCUUUGUGCACAUACUGUCAGCUGCUGCAGAAUUCGACGAGCUUCCUGUACGUCAUAAUGAGGAUACCUUGAAUCGAACACUCUGCGAAAAGGUCCCUUAUUCAGUUGACCAGCACCACCUUGAUGACCCACAUGUCAAGGCUAAUUUACUCUUCCAGGCACACUUCUCCAGAGCAGAAUUACCAAUUAGUGACUAUAUCACUGACUUGAAGUCAAUUCUUGAUCAGAGCAUACGUAUUAUACAGGCUAUGAUUGAUGUAUGUGCCAACAGUGGAUGGCUUUCAAGUGCAUUGACAUGUAUGCAUCUCUUACAAAUGAUCAUACAGGGUCUCUGGUUUGAGAGAGAUUCAUCACUCUUGAUGUUACCAUCCAUGAAUGAUAACCUUCUAGAUCAUCUUAAAGGCAGAGGAGUUUCAACAGUUCUGAGCUUGCUAGAUCGUUCUCGUGAAGAAUUACACAAGUUGCUUCAACCGUUUUCUGCUGCAGAGUUGUAUCAGGAUCUGCAACAUUUCCCUCGCCUUGAUGUUAAAGUUAAGCUACAGAAUGAAGAUAAGGAGCAGUCAAAACCUCAAAUGCUGAACAUUAGAAUGCAAAUUAAAAAUACGCGUCGUUCGCCAAGAGUAUUUUCCUCUAAAUUCCCUAAGGCGAAACAAGAAGCCUGGUGGCUGGUCCUGGGGAAUAUUACAAGCUCGGAGCUAUAUGGUCUGAAAAGAAUUAGUUUUGCAGAUCGUGUGCUUAACACUCGCAUGGAAUUGCCACCGAUGUUGAAUAUGCAGGAGGCAAAGCUGAUUGUUGUGUCAGAUUGCUACCUUGGGUUUGAUCAGGAGGUCUCCCUUGGGCAUCUAGCGAAGGUCUAA
RNAcentral lists this ribosomal RNA (6237 nucleotides) under Triticum aestivum (bread wheat). Its description in RNAcentral is "partial small subunit ribosomal RNA". Lineage: Eukaryota; Viridiplantae; Streptophyta; Magnoliopsida; Poales; Poaceae. The record is from RNAcentral.